AUUGAACGCUGGCGGCAUGCCUUACACAUGCAAGUCGAACGGCAGCACGGGUGCUUGCACCUGGUGGCGAGUGGCGAACGGGUGAGUAAUACAUCGGAACGUACCUUAUCGUGGGGGAUAACGCAGCGAAAGCUGUGCUAAUACCGCAUACGCCCUGAGGGGGAAAGCGGGGGAUCGAAAGACCUCGCGCGAUUAGAGCGGCCGAUGCCUGAUUAGCUAGUUGGUGGGGUAAAAGCCCACCAAGGCGACGAUCAGUAGCUGGUCUGAGAGGACGAUCAGCCACACUGGGACUGAGACACGGCCCAGACUCCUACGGGAGGCAGCAGUGGGGAAUUUUGGACAAUGGGGGCAACCCUGAUCCAGCAAUGCCGCGUGAGUGAAGAAGGCCUUCGGGUUGUACAGCUCUUUUGUCAGGGAAGAAACACCGGCUCUAACACAGUCCGGGAAUGACGGUACCUGAAGAAUAAGCACCGGCUAACUACGUGCCAGCAGCCGCGGUAA
RNAcentral lists this ribosomal RNA (501 nucleotides) under uncultured bacterium. RNAcentral describes it as "partial 16S ribosomal RNA". It matches the Rfam family "Bacterial small subunit ribosomal RNA", at positions 29 to 523 of the family's 1533-position model. The record is from RNAcentral.